Molecule: ribosomal RNA, 462 nt
Filed under: uncultured bacterium
Lineage: Bacteria
Description: bacterial SSU rRNA
Rfam family: Bacterial small subunit ribosomal RNA
Source: RNAcentral
AAUCAACGCUGGCGGCGUGCCUAACACAUGCAAGUCGAACGGGAAACGGGGGCAACUCCGUGAGUAUAGUGGCGUACGGGUGAGUAACACGUGACUACCUACCUUUGAGUGGGGGAUAACCCCGGGAAACCGGGCUAAUACCGCAUAACAUCGCAAGAUCAAAGAAGCAAAUUCGCUUAAAGAGGGGGUCGCGGCUGAUUAGCUAGUUGGUAGGGUAAUGGCCUACCAAGGCGAUGAUCGGUAGCCGGCCUGAGAGGGCGCACGGCCACACUGGAACUGAAACACGGUCCAGACUCCUACGGGAGGCAGCAGUGGGAAUUUGCGCAAUGGGGGAAACCCUGACGCAGCAACGCCGCGUGGAGGAUGAAGUCCCUUGGGACGUAAACUCCUUUCGACCGGGACGAUUAUGACGGUACCGGUGGAAGAAGCCCCGGCUAACUUCGUGCCAGCAGCCGCGGUAAU